This 1179-nucleotide ribosomal RNA is filed under the name marine metagenome. RNAcentral's name for it is "bacterial SSU rRNA". It matches the Rfam family "Eukaryotic small subunit ribosomal RNA", at positions 477 to 1681 of the family's 1831-position model. The record is from RNAcentral.
AUCACAAUAUUUUGCCCUAGGGUUAAAUAAUUGUAUUGAGAACAAAGUAGAUAAAUUAUCGAUAAACAACUGGAGGGCAAGUCUGGUGCCAGCAGCCGCGGUAAUUCCAGCUCCAGUAGUGUAUGCUAACAUUGUUGCAGUUAAAAAGCUCGUAGUUGAAUUUUUAAGGGAAUCACUUGUAUGUGUUCUUUAUGAUCUACAACACAUGUUGCUUCCUCUUAUUUUGCGCUUUUUCAAUUUUGGCAUUCAGUUGUUGACAGUGAAAUGAGUGUUUCUUUACUUUGAGAAAAUUAGUGUGUUUGAAGCAGUCUUACGGCUUUAUCCUAAAGCAUGGAAUAAUAAGUAAUGACAUCGGUCAAUUUUUGAUGGCUUGAGAGAUUGUUGUAAUGAUAUAUAGAGUUUGUCGGAGGUAUUAGUAUUUUGUCGUUAGAGGUGAAAUUCUGGGAUCGAUAAAAGAUGAACAAUUGCGUAAGCAAUUACCUAGGAUGUUCUCCUUGAUCAAGAACGUAAGUUGAGGGAUCGAAGACGAUCAGAUACCGUCGUAGUCUUAACUUUAAACUAUAUUAGCUAGGGAUUGGCAAAUGUUUAGACGACCUUGUUAGAACCUUAGGAGAAAUUAAAGCGUUUGGAUUCCGGGGGGAGUAUGGUCGCAAGGGUGAAACUUAAAGGAAUUGACGGAAGGGCACCACAAGAUGUGGAUCCUGUGGCUUAAUUUGACUCAACACCGGGAAACUUACCAGGUCCAGACAUAGGUAAGAUUGACAGAUUGAAAGUUCUUUCUUGAUUCUGUGGGUGGUGGUGCAUGGCCGUUCUUAGUUGGUGGAGUGAUUUGUCUGGUUAAUUCCGUUAACGAACGAGACUAUUACCGGCUAAAUAGUGAAAUCUUUUGAUUAGGAUAGUUGCUUCUUAGAGGGACUGGUUUUGCAUAAAUUACUGGAAGUUUGUAGCAAUAACAGGUCUGUGAUGCCCUUAGAUGUUCUGGGCUGCGCACGGGCUACAAUAGAAGAGUAAUUGAGCUUAUUAAACAUAGCUUGAAAUGGGUUUUGUAAUCUUAAAAUUAUACUUUAUUUGGGAUCGCGCUUUGAAAUUGUUACGUGUUAACCAGGAAUAUCUAGUAUGUGUGUGUCAUCAGCGUGCACUGAAUACGUCCCUGCCCUUUGUACACACCGCCCGUCGCUC